Molecule: ribosomal RNA, 497 nt
Filed under: uncultured bacterium
Lineage: Bacteria
Description: partial 16S ribosomal RNA
Rfam family: Bacterial small subunit ribosomal RNA
Source: RNAcentral
GACGAACGCUGGCGGCGUGCCUAAUACAUGCAAGUUGAGCGCUGAAGGUUGGUACUUGUACCAACUGGAUGAGCAGCGAACGGGUGAGUAACGCGUGGGGAAUCUGCCUUUGAGCGGGGGACAACAUUUGGAAACGAAUGCUAAUACCGCAUAAAAACUUUAAACACAAGUUUUAAGUUUGAAAGAUGCUAUUGCAUCACUCAAAGAUGAUCCCGCGUUGUAUUAGCUAGUUGGUGAGGUAAAGGCUCACCAAGGCGAUGAUACAUAGCCGACCUGAGAGGGUGAUCGGCCACAUUGGGACUGAGACACGGCCCAAACUCCUACGGGAGGCAGCAGUAGGGAAUCUUCGGCAAUGGACGAAAGUCUGACCGAGCAACGCCGCGUGAGUGAAGAAGGGUUUCGGAUCGUAAAACUCUGUUGGUAGAGAAGAACGUUGGUGAGAGUGGAAAGCUCAUCAAGUGACGGUAACUACCCAGAAAGGGACGGCUAACUACGUG